Molecule: non-coding RNA, 2122 nt
Organism: Rattus norvegicus (Norway rat)
Lineage: Eukaryota; Metazoa; Chordata; Mammalia; Rodentia; Muridae
Source: RefSeq, a predicted model, not a curated record
AAGGCAGAGAAGCAAGGGACAGAGAAGGACAGAAAGGACAGAAGGACAGAGAGGCCUGCAGGGAGCAUGUGGGAGCUGGGAGAGAGAGGAAAAGAGAGAGAACCUGGUGUCCAGCAGUCCUUUUAUUCUCCAGGCCACCUGCACAUAGCAGCAGCAGGUAAAGAGCCAUUGCUGGGUCUCUGGGAGGAGCCCAGCAGAAUCACUUGUGAGCUACGCAGUCCUGGAGGCAUUUCACCGGGACACGUGCUGCUGGUCAAUCGUGACUAACGGAGACCUCCAGUUCUCUCUGUCUUCUCCAUGCUCCUCCCUUCUCUCUUCUCCUUCCUCUCGUGGUCCCUACCUGCACCCCCAGCGAGGUAACUUGAAGAUCUGCCUACCUCUAUUUCCUCCAGUCAUUGGUUGUAGCCAUUUUUAUUUAACCAAUAGUUUUAGCUUGGGGGGCAAGGUUUGCACAACAAAAGCUGCUGUAUGUCUUGGGGCAACCAGGUCUUGGGGUACAGAAUUGAGCAUUUGCGUACAUAGCAGUGCCAGACCAACCCCCAACAUAGUAAGGUUGUAAGAGGGAACGCUGAGCCCACCCUGAGCAGGUGGCCGAGUUGCAUCAGGAAGCCGGUGGGCGAGCAUGAGCAGGAGAAAGCAAGACAUGCAAUCCAUCCUGUUUCUUCUUGCUGACCCUUCCACUGAAAUCGAGGUGUCCGCGUGAUGGAACUGAAAUGGAAAGGCUGACAUAAAACGAGCUGUUUGCGUUAAGCUCUGAGAAGUCUACAGAGGGAAGAGCUGCCGCAAUCUGCCUGUUCACAGAACCCAUGGAGACGGUGACCGAGAUGGUGGUGCCGGGCUGCUGCUCGCUAGAAAUUUGGGGUCAAUCAUUUGAAAGAUGUUUUCAAAGAAUUUUAUUUCCAGGAACUGCAAUGAGUACCACAAGACAUGCAAAGGCAAGGGAUGUGUGUGGGGUGGAAGAACUUUCUCUGUCCCUUUGUUUAAAAGUUUGAUUCACUUUACAAUUUUAUUUUAUUUUUAAAAGUUUUAAAGAUCUUUUUAUUUGUAUAUGUGUAUGAGUAUGUGUGUGUAUGUAUGUGUAUAUGUGUGUGUGUGUAUGAGUGCAUGUGUGUAUGUGUAUGUGGUGUGUGUGUAUGUAUGUGUGUAUGUGUGUGUGUGGUGUGUGUGUGUGUGGUGUGUGUGUGAUGUGUGUAUGUGUGUGUGAUGUGUGUGUGUAUGUGUAUGUGUAUAUGUGGUGUAUGUGUGUGUGGUGUGUGUAUGGUGUGUGUGUAUGUGUGUGUGUAUGUGUGUGUGUAUGUGUGUGGUAUGUGUGUGUGGUGUGUGUGUAUGUGUGUAUGUGUGGUAUGUGUAUGUGUGUGUUGUGUAUGUGUGUGUUGUGUUUAUAUGUGUGUAUAUGUGUGGUGUGUGUGUGUGUGUGGUGUGUGUGUAUGUGUAUGAGUGCAUGUGUGUAUGUGUGUGGUGUGUGUGUGGUGUGUGUAUGUGUGUGUGUGGUGUGUGUAUGGUGUGUGUGUAUGUGUGUGUUGUGUGUGUGUGUUGUGUGUGUUGUGUGUGUGUGUUGUGUGUGUAUGUGUGGUAUGUGUAUGUGUGUGUUGUGUGUGUGUGUUGUGUAUGUGUGUGUUGUGUGUGUUGUGUGUGUGUGUUGUGUGUGUAUGUGUGGUAUGUGUAUGUGUGUGUUGUGUGUGUGUGUUGUGUGUGUAUGUGUGUAUGUGUGGUAUGUGUAUGUGUGUGUUGUGUGUGUGUUGUGUAUGUGUGUGUUGUGUUUAUAUGUGUGUAUAUGUGUGGUGAGUGUGUGUGUGUGUGGUGUGUGUGUAUGUGUAUGAGUGCAUGUGUGUAUGUGUAUGUGGUGUGUGUAUAUGUGUGUGUAUGUGUUUGUGUGUGUAUAUGUGUAUGUGUGUGUGGUGUGUGUGUGUGUGUGUGUGUGUGUGUGUGUGUGUGUGUGUACAUGUGAAUUCAGGUGUCCAUAGAAACCAAAGCAUCAGAUUCCCCUGGAUCUGGAGUUGGAAGUAGUUGGGAGACACCCAGCACGGGUGCUGUAAAACAUACCAAAAAUAUAACAUGUUACUCACUUCCAAAUGUGCAGAUAAGUUUAUUUUUAAAUCAGUCAAUUAAAUGUUUUGGAUGU